Long non-coding RNA from Rhipicephalus microplus (southern cattle tick), 459 nucleotides. The record is from RefSeq and is a predicted model, not a curated record. NCBI's taxonomy places the organism in Eukaryota, Metazoa, Arthropoda, Arachnida, Ixodida, Ixodidae.
AGUAGUGCGGGGAUCAAUACAGUCAUGCCAGGGCCAGGCCACUAGCGAGCGUUCUGUGCAGGGCUGCCAGAUGCCACCGAACUAACAAGUCCGUAAUCAUCACAAGACAAGCCCGAAUUAAGUGGAAAAUUCAACAAUUUUAAUUUUUUAAAGCAUAUUUUGAUAGCAAAAACUGUCACUCAAAUACAAAGUUUGAAAAAAAAAAGAAUCGCCUGUUUUGUGCAGUGAAAGCAGGAGCAUCUAUGAAGCCGCCUUCUUCAUGGCAGCGCCGAAUAAGUACGCAGAAGUGGCUCAGAUGACCAAACUGCUCUACAAUGGAAAUACAGACAAGCUUCCCAGGAUCGCCAAGACAGACGUAACGCUAUCACUGCCCACCGGUAAAAACUGGAACGACUUCACGUGGUUCUCGGUCUACUGCGUCGACACCAGGGCGAGUCACGCCGACUUGGACAUCGACAG